UACGAGGGGGGCGAGCGUUGUUCGGAAUUAUUGGRCGUAAAGGGUGCGUAGGCGGUUUGAUAAGUCUGAUGUGAAAUCUAUGGGCUCAACCCAUAGCCUGCAUUAGAAACUGUCGGGCUUGAGUAUGGGRGAGGUGAGUGGAAUUUCCGGUGUAGCGGUGAAAUGCGUAGAUAUCGGAAGGAACACCUGUGGCGAAAGCGGCUCACUGGACCAUUACUGACGCUGAUGCACGAAAGCUAGGGGAGCAAACAGGAUUAGAUACCCUGGUAGUCCUAGCCCUAAACGAUGAUUGCUUGAUGUGGAGGGUACCCAAUCCUUCCGUGUCGUAGCUAACGCGAUAAGCAAUCCGCCUGGGGAGUACGGUCGCAAGGCUGAAACUCAAAG
This 384-nucleotide ribosomal RNA is filed under the name uncultured bacterium. RNAcentral's name for it is "bacterial SSU rRNA". It matches the Rfam family "Bacterial small subunit ribosomal RNA", at positions 524 to 906 of the family's 1533-position model. The record is from RNAcentral.